RNAcentral lists this small RNA (179 nucleotides) under Gordonia sputi. RNAcentral's name for it is "c-di-AMP sequence". It matches the Rfam family "c-di-AMP riboswitch aptamer (ydaO/yuaA leader)". From Rfam's summary of the family: This family represents a conserved RNA structure found upstream of the ydaO and yuaA genes in Bacillus subtilis and related genes in other bacteria. The ydaO/yuaA element is thought to act as a genetic "off" switch for the ydaO and yuaA genes in its native state. Lineage: Bacteria; Bacillati; Actinomycetota; Actinomycetes; Mycobacteriales; Gordoniaceae. The record is from RNAcentral.
GAAUGACGAACAACAAACUCAGGAACGAGGACGGGGGACCCAACAUCUCCGAUGGAGAUACGGACAUCCGCACGGAUGCCCUUGGGGUUAAGUCCACCGGCCGCCACGGCGACCACGGACCGAGCAACCUCUCGUUCGAACCCGACAGCUGACUUCGUAGGCGCGUGGAGAGAGGAAAG